This 1380-nucleotide long non-coding RNA is filed under the name Medicago truncatula (barrel medic). RNAcentral describes it as "long non-coding RNA (MTRU_LNC006323)". Lineage: Eukaryota; Viridiplantae; Streptophyta; Magnoliopsida; Fabales; Fabaceae. The record is from RNAcentral.
AAACCAAUGCCACUGGAAAGCUAACACAAUUAUCUACAACUUUCAUGUUUACACCAAAAGCCAAUUCAAAACAGAAACGUGUGAAAAAGAUGCAAGAACGCGAAACAGGGGAUGCUGUCAAAGUGCAGCUCGCGAGGCGAGCAAGUUUACUCGCUGUGGCGAGUUACGACGGACAAAUCUACGGGAACAGACCAGAUUUCACUCCAAAAGCCCCAAUUUCAUCAACCCAAAUUUGAUAGGAAACUCAACCUAUGUUUAUUCUACAGCCUGAACUUUAAUUCUUAUGUUAAUUCAUUGAAUUACCUACUCUUUAACAAUCAAUUCCAAACCAAAACCUAAUAUUUCUCUAAUAAUCAAAAUUACCACCUACAUCAUGUUAAAUCCAGUUUUCAGAAUUAAAAUACUUAGAAUUAGAGAAAGUUAGUCCCACCCUUACCUUAGUAUUGAUGAUCGGCGAUCUUUCUCCCUCUUGGUUCUCCUCUUCUCUUGUUUUCUCCCUUUUCUCCAAAACUGGUUGUACGUGAAAAAUAAUUCUAAACCUAGUUUCUCCUAUUUAUCUCUUCCCAUCUAUUUUAUCUUAUUUUCACUUAAUCCACUAAACUCUCUAAAUUCUCAAAACAGCCCCAGAAUCUUAAUCUUAUUUCUAUUUUCAAGAUUUAUUAUAUUAAAUAAUAAAAUAACACUACUUAAUAAAAUAACAACACACCACAUAAUCAUUUAAAUCACAUAAAUACUAAAAUAAGCCACUUAAUAAAUCACAUAAUCAUAUAAAUAUAUUUUAAACCUAUUAAAAUAAUCAAAUAAUUCAAAGAGGGCGUUACAUGCCACGUCAUAGACGAUUUUUCUUUGUUUCUAUCAUCACCCUGAACGUUACCUUGAUUCUGAUUUUGAGACAUAUCUACAUUAAAAACAAAUGGCGAUCAAAACCUAACUAAACAAUAAUGCCAUAAAAUCAUAAAAUCAAAAACUAAACAUAAACUUAAACUAUCAUCAAAACCUACACCUAAACCUAAACAAUUAUAACAAUUCUACAACGAUUCAUCAAAACCUAAACCUAACAAUUCAAUAAAAGUUCUCUAACAAUUCUAACCAUUCUAACCUAAACUAUCCUAACAUAUCAUAAAAUCAACAAAUCAAUAUAGUCGAACCUAUAUAAUCGAAAUUUAACAAAAAAAAAAAAAACAAUUCAACCGCAAAACAACAAUGCAAUAGGAUUAAAAAAACUUACUUGUUUUUGUGAUUGAAAUUGGCUGAGAAUGACUUGAAAUAGCUCAAAAUCGCACCUUGGAGAUCAAAAAAUGUAACAAUGGAGUUUUGGAAACUCCUAUGCCUAUUCUGUUCUUAUAACAUUUUUCUCGGCAGUUAAUUGUCGAGGUUAGG